This is a long non-coding RNA of Clupea harengus (Atlantic herring), 924 nucleotides long. The record is from Ensembl. Lineage: Eukaryota; Metazoa; Chordata; Actinopteri; Clupeiformes; Clupeidae.
CACACACACACACACACACACACACACACACACACACACACACACACACACACACACACCUACCUGGUGUUCCCUAAUGAACCCUGACCUCCUGACGAUGGCCUGGAAAGGAGACUGUGCUGAUCCAGAUGUCAUCUCUCACUCUGGGCUCAGAUGGGGUUAAUGUAUCUAAUAUAUAAAUCACAGAUGGGGUUAAUGUAUCUAAUAUAUAAAUCACAGACAGGGUUAAUGUAUCUAAUAUAUAAAUCACAGACGGGGUUAAUGUAUCUAAUAUAUAAAUCACAGAUGGGGUUAAUGUAUCUAAUAUAUAAAUCACAGACGGGGUUAAUUUAUCUAAUAUAUAAAUCACAGACGGGGUUAAUGUAUCUAAUAUAUAAAUCACAGACGGGGUUAAUGUAUCUAAUAUAUAAAUCACAGACGGGGUUAAUUUAUCUAAUAUAUAAAUCACAGACAGGGUUAAUGUAUCUAAUAUAUAAAUCACAGACAGGGUUAAUGUAUCUAAUAUAUAAAUCACAGACAGGGUUAAUGUAUCUAAUAUAUAAAUCACAGACGGGGUUAAUGUAUCUAAUAUAUAAAUCACAGACGGGUUUAAUGUAUUUAAUACAUAAUGUGAUACGGGGACAUGGAUGAGGACAGGGAGGAGAUAAGAGCUGAGCUGUUUGGGGUUGACACACUGAGUCAGAAGCACACACACACACACACACACACACACUCUCACACUCUCACAUACACACACUCACACUCACUCACUCACACUCACACACACACACACACACACACACACACUCACACACACUCACACACACUCUGGUGAGGUUGGUUUGCAUGUGACCCAUAGUAAUGGUGUCAGUUCAGUGUUCAGGUGUGUUGCCCGGGGCAACUGUGAUUGAGUCACGUGAUCAUACUCUGAUCAGAGCUGGAAGC